AUCGGAGAGAGGUACUUGCUACUGAUCUUAGCGGCGGACGGGUGAUUAAUGCUUAGGAAUCUGCCUAUUAGGGGGGGACAACAUUUCAAAAGGAAUGCUAAUACCGCAAACGUCCUACGGAAAAAAGCAGGGGAUCUUCGGACCUUGCGCUAAUAGAGGAGCCUAAGUCGGAUUAGCUAGUUGGGGGGGUAAAGGCCUACCAGGGCGACGAUCUGUAGCGGGUCUGAGAGGAUGAUCCGCCACACUGGGACUGAAACACGGCCAAAACUCCUACGGGAGGCAGCGGUGGGGAAUAUUGGACAAGGGGCGCAAGCCUGAUCCAGCCAUGCCGCGUGGGUGAAGAAGGCCUUAUGGUUGUAAAGCAUUUUAAACGAGGAGGAGGCUACUUUAGUUAAUACCUAAAGAUAGUGGACGUUACUCGCAAAAUAAGCACCGGCUAACUCUGUGCCAGCAGCCGCGGUAAUACAGAGGGUGCAAGCGUUAAUCGGAUUUACUGGGCGUAAAGCGCGCGUAGGCGGCUAAUUAAGUCAAAUGUGAAAUCCCCGAGCUUAACUUGGGAAUUGCAUUCAAUACUGGUUAGCUAGAGUGGGGAAGAGGAUGGUAAAAUUCCAGGUGUAGCGCUGAAAUGCGUAAAAACCUGGAGGAAUACCGAUGACAAAGGCGGCCUUCUGCCCUAUUACCUGACCCCUGUUGUUGCGCAACCUUGGGGAGCAACAGGAUUAAAAUCCCCUGGUCCCCCCUGCCGUAACACGAUGUCCUCCUACCCGUUUG
This 771-nucleotide ribosomal RNA is filed under the name Acinetobacter rudis. Its description in RNAcentral is "bacterial SSU rRNA". It matches the Rfam family "Bacterial small subunit ribosomal RNA", at positions 65 to 827 of the family's 1533-position model. Lineage: Bacteria; Pseudomonadati; Pseudomonadota; Gammaproteobacteria; Moraxellales; Moraxellaceae. The record is from RNAcentral.